AUUGAACGCUGGCGGCAUGCCUUACACAUGCAAGUCGAACGGUAACGGGCCUUCGGGUGCCGACGAGUGGCGAACGGGUGGGUAAUACAUCGGAACGUGACCGAUCGUGGGGGAUAACGAGGCGAAAGCUUUGCUAAUACCGCAUACGAUCUACGGAUGAAAGCAGGGGACCGCAAGGCCUUGCGCGGACGGAGCGGCCGAUGGUAGAUGAGGGAGUUGGUGGGAUAAAAGUUUACCAGGCCGACGAUCUGUAGCUGGUCUGUGAGGAUGAUCAGCCACACUGGAACUGAGACACGGCCCAUACUCCUACGGGAGGCAGCAGUGGGGAAUUUUGGGCAAUGGGCGCAAGCCUGAUCCAGCCAUGCCGCGUGCAGGAUGAAGGCCUUCGGGUUGUAAACUGCUUUUGUACGGAACGAAAAGCCUUCUUUUAAUACAGGAGGGUCAUGACGGUACCGUAAGAAUAAGCACCGGCUAACUACGUG
RNAcentral lists this ribosomal RNA (482 nucleotides) under uncultured bacterium. RNAcentral describes it as "partial 16S ribosomal RNA". It matches the Rfam family "Bacterial small subunit ribosomal RNA", at positions 30 to 507 of the family's 1533-position model. The record is from RNAcentral.